Molecule: long non-coding RNA, 1982 nt
Filed under: Harpegnathos saltator (Jerdon's jumping ant)
Lineage: Eukaryota; Metazoa; Arthropoda; Insecta; Hymenoptera; Formicidae
Description: uncharacterized LOC112590450
Source: RNAcentral
GCGUCGGCGUCGGCGUCAUGCCGGGGGCGUCGCACCAUCGUCGUCGGCAGCGAGCGUCUCGACCGAACGUCCUCGUCUCCCCAGGCCAGUACCAAGCCGGGCCCCGUCGUCGAGAGGGUCGAUCCACUUCCUGCUGCGCGCUCGGUGCGAGACGGUGAACCGGUCGUGGCGAGGCGCGACCGAGAAGGAGCAGCGACGCGGACUCGGGACGACCAAAGAGAGAGAGAGAGAGAGAGAGAGAGAGAGAGAGAGAGAGAGAGAGAGAGAGAGAGAGAGAGGGAGAGAGAGAGGAAGAGAGAGCGAGCGCGGCGCGGCGCGGCCGCGAAAGGGAGACGACUCGCAUUUGCGGUGAUCGCUGGUGCGCGCUGCUGAUCCGCCGUGUGUAUGUUCGCGCUUUCGCCGGAAGCACCGCCGAGGCUGGCGAGAGACAGACGGAGAAAAAUGGAGCGCGCGACGGCCGGCGGAUCGAUCGCGAUAUGAACGGACCGCCGCCGACUCGAGGAGGACUCGAAUAUACCGACCGCGAGCGAGCGGGAGCGUCGCAGGCAGUGUGUGUCUGAUGAUUUAACCGGACCGAGCGAGCGGAGCAAGCCGUCGCCGUCGCCGUCGCCGUCGCAGAGGGUCGUCUGUCGUGUGCGGUCGCCAUUGAAACGCACGCACGCACGCACGCACGCACGCACGCACAGGUGGAGAACAGAGCGUCGUCGCGAGCGACGUGCCGCGAGCGCGAUCAGUCCCGGUCGAGGUCGUGUCGCCUGUCGCUGGGACCCUCCGUCCGGUGUGACCUUCGCCAGGUGCCGGAAAUGAGGCUCGAGGUUAGGUGACAUCCCUCGCGAUUCCCACGGACUAGCGCGCGACACUCUCUCUUUCUCUCUUUCUCUCUGUCUUCCUCCCUGUCUGCGUCUUGGUCUCUCGGUGUGCACGACGACUCCGGUCGUGAUCUCUCGCGGAGAGUAGCGCUCGCUCGCACACCUUCCGUCACACGAGCAGGCCCGCGGUGAAAGUGUGUCAUCGACGCGGCGCGGCGCGGCGCGGCGCGGCGCGACGCGCCUCGACUAGGCACUCUCCGGCGGCUCCCUCGUUGUCGUCGUCUGGCGGAUUACGACGCGCGCUCAAUCGGACGGUUCUCCAGGGAGGCCGGGGGACUUGGCGCUUCGCGCGGCGAUGAUCUCUUAAGGGUCGCUGAGUUAGUUUUCCAUACCUGGUGGCUCGGUCAGUGCGAGAUCGCGCCGAUCGCGAGGCGCUCGCCGGUGUGUCUCUCACGCUCCGGGUCUCUCCGGGUGCCUGCUGGCUGUCGCCUGUGUGAGAGACACCUCAGGAAGAGGAGACUGUCUCGCGAGUUGCCAGCGAAAUCGACGCUCGUCCUUGGGAUCGCUCCUCCCGGUGAGACUCAUCGAGGUGCCUCGGGAGAAGAGGCACCUCUCGAUCUCCCUUUCAUUCCCACCGCGAACGAAUACGACAGCUGCAGGAGCGAGCGGGAGGUGCGCGGUGGAUUGUUCGCGUGUUCAGUGCGCUUUCGGGGUGCUUCUCGGCGGCGGCGACGGCGGCUGAUCGACAGAUUCCGACCGCAUCCAGCCGGCUGACCGAACUUCCAAUUCAAGACGUAUCUCCGAAGAUAUCGAUUUUCACCGAGACGAUCGCGACCCGCCGCCGAUUGCGCUGAUCUCGUUGGAUACAAGACGCUGAAGAAGAGGGUAGACGCGCGACCACUCGCACACGAGUCAUCCCUGGAAUCUACCGACACGAGGACGACGAGGACAGAAACAAGGACGUGUUCCCGCGGGAUGCACGCGUCCGGCCGCACGUAGUCGACGCGCGGCUGCGUCGGCGACCUCCCGAGACGACAAGUCGGGCCUGAAGGAACGCUCCUCCGGGUUUGUCGAGUGGCGAGUUUAAGAGGAGUCGUUUCGUCAAUCGGAGCCUACACCUAUUUGCGCGGCGGAAGAGAGCCAGAGGGACGAAGAGAGAGAGAGAGAGAGAGA